CACAGACAACACCAAAAUAAUGAUGUCCGCCAGAGAACUACAAGCGAAAAACUAGAAACUCAAAGGACUUGGCGGUGCUCCACACCACCCUAGAGGAGCCUGUCCUAUAAUCGAUACCCCACGUUUUACCUUACCAUCUUUUGUAAUUCAGUCUAUAUACCGCCGUCGCCAGCCUACCUUAUGAAAGAAAUAAAGUAAGCAAAACAGUUAACAACUAACACGUCAGGUCAAGGUGUAACACAUAUGAUGGAAGAGAUGGGCUACAUUUUCUACCAAAGAAAACACGAAUGGUAAAAUGAAACACACACCUGAAGGAGGAUUUAGCAGUAAGAUAAACAAGAAAUUUUAUCUUAAACCCGCUCUGGAGCGCGCACACACCGCCCGUCACCCCU
Molecule: ribosomal RNA, 392 nt
Filed under: Tribolonotus novaeguineae
Lineage: Eukaryota; Metazoa; Chordata; Lepidosauria; Squamata; Scincidae
Description: partial 12S ribosomal RNA
Rfam family: Bacterial small subunit ribosomal RNA
Source: RNAcentral